AAUAUCUAAUCUUCAUCAGCCUCUUUAUCAGAUUAAACAAAAAAACAUUAACCAACAAAAACAAAUUGAAGUUGUUAAAUCAUAUUAGAAAGAAGAACUCAGUCCCUUAGAUGUUCAUAAUAAUGCGAUCAUUACCGCAAUCAUUACAGGUCUGUAAACUGACUCAUCACUGUUCUUCCAAAAACUUAUACAAAAACCCAAAUCUAGAUUUCAAUACGAAUAAUAUAUAGCUGCUCAGUUGUGAUUCUCCCAAAUCAACAUCAGCAAAAAUCGUAUAAAUACGAAAUCACCGAAGAUUCAUAGGGAGAAUUAUAUAAAUAACGAAAGCAACACGAUUGAUUUUGCUUCAAGGGAACGAAUCAUAUGGGAACGAACAAAUCCACAUAGACUAUCUGAUGAAGCCAAUCUUUCAAUAAACAUAAAUCAUGAUAAUCCUAGACAAAAGGCAAGCCCAAUAACAACAAUAGAGAGAACACCAAACCC
Arabidopsis thaliana (thale cress) is the source of this 483-nucleotide long non-coding RNA. RefSeq annotates it as other RNA. The transcript has a single exon. The record is from RefSeq. NCBI's taxonomy places the organism in Eukaryota, Viridiplantae, Streptophyta, Magnoliopsida, Brassicales, Brassicaceae.